GUACGAGGACAGUGAAGAAGUAUGACGUCAUGAUCCCUGAGCGAACUGGAUUCUAUCCACAUUUGCUUUCAGACCUCUGUGAAUCCCGCUCAAAUCCAUACAAUAGAAAAUAUUCUGUC
Molecule: long non-coding RNA, 119 nt
Organism: Thalassophryne amazonica
Lineage: Eukaryota; Metazoa; Chordata; Actinopteri; Batrachoidiformes; Batrachoididae
Exons: 3
Source: RefSeq, a predicted model, not a curated record